AACGCGUGAGAAUCUGGCUUCAGGUCUGGGACAACAGUUGGAAACGACUGCUAAUACCGGAUGUGCCGAGAGGUGAAAGGCUUGCUGCCUGAAGAUGAGCUUGCGUCUGAUUAGCUAGUUGGUGGGGUAAGAGCCUACCAAGGCGACGAUCAGUAGCUGGUCUGAGAGGAUGAUCAGCCACACUGGGACUGAGACACGGCCCAGACUCCUACGGGAGGCAGCAGUGGGGAAUUUUCCGCAAUGGGCGAAAGCCUGACGGAGCAAUACCGCGUGAGGGAGGAAGGCUCUUGGGUUGUAAACCUCUUUUCUCAGGGAAGAAAAAAAUGACGGUACCUGAGGAAUAAGCAUCGGCUAACUCCGUGCCAGCAGCCGCGGUAAUACGGAGGAUGCAAGCGUUAUCCGGAAUGAUUGGGCGUAAAGGGUCCGCAGGUGGCUGUGUAAGUCUGCUGUUAAAGAGUCAUGCUCAACAUGAUCAAGGCAGUGGAAACUACAAGGCUAGAGUGCGUUCGGGGCAGAGGGAAUUCCUGGUGUAGCGGUGAAAUGCGUAGAUAUCAGGAAGAACACCGGUGGCGAAAGCGCUCUGCUAGGCCGCAACUGACACUGAGGGACGAAAGCUAGGGGAGCGAAUGGGAUUA
This 635-nucleotide ribosomal RNA is filed under the name Trichormus doliolum IBSDCY2. RNAcentral's name for it is "bacterial SSU rRNA". It matches the Rfam family "Bacterial small subunit ribosomal RNA", at positions 112 to 780 of the family's 1533-position model. Lineage: Bacteria; Bacillati; Cyanobacteriota; Cyanophyceae; Nostocales; Nostocaceae. The record is from RNAcentral.